This 1248-nucleotide ribosomal RNA is filed under the name Bacillus sp. F1.10. RNAcentral's name for it is "bacterial SSU rRNA". It matches the Rfam family "Bacterial small subunit ribosomal RNA", at positions 72 to 1333 of the family's 1533-position model. The record is from RNAcentral. Lineage: Bacteria; Bacillati; Bacillota; Bacilli; Caryophanales; Bacillaceae.
UUAGGGACUUGCUCCUGAUAUAGCGGCGGACGGGUGAGUAACACGUGGGUAACCUGCCUGUAAGACUGGGAUAACUCCGGGAAACCGGGGCUAAUACCGGAUAACUCAUUUCCUCGCAUGAGGAAAUGUUGAAAGGUGGCUUUUACCUACCACUUACAAAUGGACCCGCGCCGCAUUAGCUAGUUGGUGAGGUAACGGCUCACCAAGGCAACAAUGCGUACCCAACCUGAAAGGGUGAUCGGCCACCCUGGAACUAAAACACGGCCCAAACUCCUACGGAAGGCACCAUUAGGAAAUCUUCCGCAUUGAACAAAAGUCUGACGAACCACCGCCCCGGGAUUGAUGAAGGUUUUCGAAUCGAAAAGCUCUGUUGUUAGGGAAAAACAAGUGCCGUUCGAAUAGGGCGGCACCUUGACGGACCCUAACCAAAAAGCCACGGCUAACUACUUGCCACCAGCCGCGGAAAUACGUAGGUGGCAAGCGUUGUCCGGAAUUAUUGGCCGUAAAGCGCGCGCAGGUGGUUCCUUAAUUCUAAUGUGAAACCCCACGGUUCACCCGUGAAGGGUCAUUGAAAACUGGGAAACUUGAUUGCAAAAAAGAAAAGUGAAAUUCCAAUUGUACCGUUGAAAUGCGUAAAUAUUUGAAGAAACACCAUUGCCAAAGGCAACUUUCUGGCCUGUAACUAACACUAAGGCGCGAAACCUUGGGAAGCAAACAGGAUUAGAUACCCUGGUAGUCCACGCCGUAAACAAUAAGUGCUAAUUGUUAGGGGGUUUCCGCCCCUUAUUGCUGCAGCUAACGCAUUAAGCACUCCGCCUGGGGAGUACGGUCGCAAGACUAAAACUCAAAGGAAUUGACGGGGGCCCGCACAACCGGUGGACCAGGUGGUUAAUUCGAACAACCCGAAAAACCUUACCAGGUCUUGACAUCCUCUGACAACCCUAAAAAUAAGGCUUUCCCCUUCCGGGGACAAAAUGACAGGUGGUGCAUGGUUGUCGUCAGCUCGUGUCCUGAAUGUUGGGUUAAGUCCCCAACGAGCCAACCCUUGAUCUAAUUGCAGCAUUCAGUGGGACUCUAAAAGACUGCCGGUACAAACCGGAAGAAGGGGGGAUAACUCCAAUCCUCAUGCCCUUAAGACUGGGCUACCCCUUGCUAAAUGGACGGUCAAAGGCACCGAACCCCGAGGUUAGCCAUCCCUAAAACCGUUCAAUUCGGAUUGAGGCUGCACUCCCCCAAUGAACUGGAACC